RNAcentral lists this ribosomal RNA (468 nucleotides) under uncultured bacterium. RNAcentral's name for it is "partial 16S ribosomal RNA". It matches the Rfam family "Bacterial small subunit ribosomal RNA", at positions 28 to 507 of the family's 1533-position model. The record is from RNAcentral.
GACGAACGCUGGCGGCGUGCUUAACACAUGCAAGUCGAACGGAAAGGCCCUGCUUUUGUGGGGUGCUCGAGUGGCGAACGGGUGAGUAACACGUGAGUAACCUGCCCUUGACUUAGGGAUAACUUCAGGAAACUGGGGCUAAUACCGGAUAGGAGCUCCUGCUGCAUGGUGGGGGUUGGAAAAUUUCGGCGGUUGGGGAUGGACUCGCGGCUUAUCAGCUUGUUGGUGGGGUAGUGGCUUACCAAGGCUUUGACGGGUAGCCGGCCUGAGAGGGUGACCGGCCACAUUGGGACUGAGAUACGGCCCAGACUCCUACGGGAGGCAGCAGUGGGGAAUAUUGCACAAUGGGCGGAAGCCUGAUGCAGCAACGCCGCGUGCGGGAUGACGGCCUUCGGGUUGUAAACCGCUUUCGCCUGUGACGAAGCGUGAGUGACGGUAAUGGGUAAAGAAGCACCGGCUAACUACGUG